This is a non-coding RNA of Podarcis lilfordi (Lilford's wall lizard), 72 nucleotides long. The record is from the annotation of a GenBank genome assembly. Lineage: Eukaryota; Metazoa; Chordata; Lepidosauria; Squamata; Lacertidae.
AGGGCUGUAGCUUGGUGAUAGAGCUUCUGUUUUGCAUUCAGAAGGUCCUGAGUUCAAUUCCCAGCAUCCCAA